GGGCCGCGGGGCUUGUUUCCGCCCCAGCCCGGCGCCGAGCGACCCCAGGGCCCGUCGGCGCCCAGGCUGGGAGAACUACGAGUUCUCUGCCGGAAGUGGACGGACGUGAUUGGCAGCCCGGGCCCUGGAGACCCGCCCCUUACGGCCCGAGGCAGGAAGCGGACGUGGCGACACCACUUCGCGCGGUAUUUUUGUCCCGGGACUCAAGCCUCGUGGAGCGGUCACGUCGGUCCUCGUGCGGUGGCCCCGUCCUCGGUGCGGCCCGUGGAGGGAGUGCCUUGGGCGCACGGAGGGCGUUAAAGGACAGGUGCGGCCCGGGACCCGAGGGGCUCCGUAGAGAGGCCGGGCCUCCGCUCGUCCGCCCGGCCACUGGGCCCCGCGCUGAGCCGGGACGGGAAGGGCGCCGCCCGGGGCGUUGGCGUCCCCUGCGCUUCCCUGGUCAGAGCCUCCGCGUCACCUUCGAGACUUUUCCCCAGAAGGAGAAGCAGCUCCGCUGUGCGAGUCCCGUUUCUCGGGCCCCGCGCCCUCCGGUUCUUAGGACCUGCGACCCCGCCGUGUGGCUGUGAGUCCAGGGGAAAGUGGGUCAGGGGCCUCUGCUGCUUUUCCUGGGUGACAGAACGUGUCGCCGGAGAAUUUGGCCUUGUCUUGGUGCGUUCUUUAGUUUUUAACAUUACAUGAGGAUAGAAAGGUAAGAUAGUUUCCUAGGUGUCAGGGGUGAGCAUAUUUGUGUCAUAUGAUUAUAAGCAGAUGUUGACCACAAGUCUUUCAUCUAAAGAAAAGAAAGAUACUCAGGUGUCUCUUCAUCUGAACUUCUAGGCCCCUCCAUCCCCACAGAGCUUUUAAACGGGGGCCUCCAGGAGAAAAAGAUGGAGACUUUAUGACACCAGUUCUAGAAUAAUUCAGUUUGCCGUUAACAGAAUAUUUGGACUAAGUGUGGUUUUCCCCCACAUUUUUCUUUUGUAAAAUCUUAAACCUACAGGAAAUUUGAACAUCCAGUACAGUGAGUGUUCGUUGUAGUAGAUUCACUCGUUUUUAGCAUUUUGUAUGUUUGCUCUCUCCAUGGAUAAAUAAAUUUCAUGGUCAGCAUUUGAAAGUAAGUUGAAAAUAAAUUUGCAGACGUGAUACUUGACCUUUAAAUACUUGGUAAUCCAUCUCUCUGAAAGACAUUAUCUACUAAAACUACAGUAGUAUUUUUCAACCCAAGAAGAUUAAGAAUAAUAAUAUCAUCAAAUAUUUACUCUAUGUAAAAAUUGAAAUUCUCCACGUUGUUUCAAUUUUUUUUUUUUUGUCUGUAGGAUUCAGUCAAGGUUAUAUGUGGCAAUUAUUUCUUUUAAUCUUUACCUCAGUCACUGAUUGUGACACCUACCACAGCAUGGCUUGCCAAGCAGUGCCGUGUCUGCACCUGGGAUCCGACCUGGUGAACCCCGGGCUGCUAAAGGGGAAUCUGUGAACUUAACAGCUGUGCCACCAGGCCAGCCCCUUUGUAAACUUUUUGACAUAGCUAAAUUACUUAAAUCUGUCUUGCCUUUUGUUUAGUAUCUUUACUUGAGAAAUAACUCAAAUGAGCCUUACUGUUUUUAACUCUGUUAAUGUACAUUUCUUUCUGUAAAUUCCUGCAGUUUGUUAUUCUUUUUUAUUUUAGAAUGGGAAAUUCAACUUAAAACCAAAGACUUGGCAGUUCAGCAGGAUGUUUUUGGGGAAAAAAGAUCCAAAAGGAUAAAAAGAGAAAGAAUCCACAAUGAGUGGGAACACUAUGAUUGUGAGCAAUGUGGAAAAGUCUUCAGUGAACAUUCAUGUCUUAAGACACACAGAACUCAGAAUGGAGAGAACGCUCAUGAGGAUAAUCAGUAUGGGAAAAGCGUCCUUACUCUGCACAGGAAAACCUCUACUGGAGAGAAACUUUCUAGGUUGAAUCAGUUGGGAAGAGCCAUGAGCCCAACUCCAGAUAUUGUGUACUGGAAAACUAGCAUGCAAGAGAAAGACCUUGAAUCCAGUGAUGGUGGGAAAGCCUUUGCUGAUCACUCUUACCUUCAGACCCAAAUUACAACUCACAAUGGAGAAAAACUCAAUGAAUGGAUGGAAUGUAGGAGAUCUUUUAUUCACAUCACGAGCUUUUGGUGUGCAUGUAGAAACUUGUGCUGGUAACAGUCAUUACAAAUGUAAGGAAUGUGGAAAAUCCUUUAAAGGCUUCUCAUACCUGAACUCUCAUGUUCAGAUUCACAAUGGAAUAAAACCCUUUAAGUGUAAGGAAUGUGGGAAAGGCUUUAAACUUUCUGUGCAUCUUAACGUUCACAUGCAGACUCACACUGGAGAGAAACCUUAUGAGUGUAAGGAAUGUGGAAAAGCCUUUGCUCGAUAUGCAUGCCUUAUUGACCAUAGAAGAGCUCACACUGGAGAGAAGCCUUUUCAGUGUGACAAAUGUGGGAAAGCCUUUGCGCCUUCCUCAAAUCGGAGUAGACAUUUUAGAACUCACAGUGGAGAGAAGCCUUUUAAAUGUGAUACUUAUGGGAAUGUCUGUGAUAGUUCCUCAAAUCUUAAACCUUUUAGAACCAUUGUAGACAGAAGCCCUUUUGAGUGUAAUAUAUGUGGGAAAAUACCAGUUCUUCAUGCUUUAUCACUCACAAGUGUACUCUUGUUGGAGGGAAAGCUUAGAAAUGUAAGGAAGAUGGGAAAUCCUUCCAUUUCCCACUUCCUUUUGGAAUCAUGAAAGAACUCCCCUGGAGAGAAAUGGUAUCAACGUAAGGAAUGUGGCAAAGCCCUAGCAGUCCGGAUUCACUCCAAAGAAAUGAAAGGACUGCGCUGGAGAGCUGCUCUCCAGUGUAAGAAAUGAAAAAGCCAUCAGGUUCUCCUCAUAGCCCAGCAUGUAAGGACUCAGAGUGAAGCCAUAGUAUUAAGAAACAUGGAAAGCCCUUCCCUAUUUCCUCAGUGAAAUACGUAUUUCUUAUAUGUGAGAGAUCUUACAGUGGAGAGAAAUCCAACUGAUAUUAAUAGUUGUGCAAAAAUUGUUUUUCUGCUAAUGUCCACUUGUCAUUUCACUUUGGAGAAAAGCUUUAUGAACGUAAGAAAUGUUGUAGAAUCAUAAUUGUUUUCCAUUGGACUGUUUCUCGUCCUUAAUAAACGUGGCGUGAUUCACAGUCAAGAAAAACCGAAUGUUUUUCAGGAAGUGCUACCCUGCGUGUGAUUCUUAGGCUCUUCUGAGAUGCAUAGCAUUCUGGGUGGCUCCACAGAUCUAUUUUAAGCCUUUGUGAUUAGGCUCGCAACCUUCCUGUGCCUCAUGUAUUUUUCUUUCUGCUGAUAGGCCAGUCUGGUUCCUCCACCUUGCAUGUUGCAGCCUGGUUAAAAGUGGACCUACAGAAUGCUUACAUAAUCCUGCUCUAACUACAUCGAUCCUCUUGUUGGAUUGGCAUGGUCUUGCAUUGUGAAGACAGUGACUGCUUGACUGUGUACUGUGCUCAGAGAACUCAUGUACAGUGAGUCACAUCAGCCACGGCGGUUGGUAAAACACAUCUUUGUAAAUUUUGAAAAAUUACCUUUUCCCUCUUACACCUGAUCUUUUCAGAUAAAAAGUCAGUGUCAAGCCUGGGAUGAGUGGGAGAAAGGUGAGAUUAUACCUACACUGUGUGACACCCUGAUUUCGUGACCUUUGUGGAUGAACUUAAGCCAUACCAGCUGGGGAGGACCGUUAACCUCAAGCCAUAUAGGAUGAUGGUAAGAAUGAUGUUCUCUUUCACAGCAUACCCCAUGCCACAGCCUGGGAAAAUCAUAUCAUUUGUCUGCAUCAGACAACAGCUGUUGCUGGUGAUAUGACCUGCUUCUGUGUUUUCCAUUCUAUCCAUGGAUGUGGAAAUAGAAAAACUCAUGUGAAUAUACCUGGUCUGGAUAAUCUGCUGUGCUUGAUGCCCUCACCGCCAGUUCCUGAAUGUGACCCUUGUGUGUAGACACAGGCCAGUGCCACCUCAUUUCAGCUUCAGUGAUACAAAUUCACAUAGUUCGGAUGCUCAGGCAGCCUUGGGUUAUGUCAUGUAUGGCCACCAGGUGUGCAGCUGCUUCCUGUCAUACUCUUGAGGCCUAAUCAAAACACUGUAUGAUAAUCUAAGUCAAGCUUAACAAUAAAUACAGAACAAGAAUUCGUUGCACGUUUGUGUUACAUGUUUAUAUGUGUGGAGGAGUAUGUCAUGUUGUGGUUCACUUUUGGGUAUAUAUAUAUGUGUGUAUAUAUAUAUAACUAUAUAUAUAUGUAGUUAUCUGGCCCAUGUGUUGCCUCUUUAAUUAUUGGCAACAACACUGAAGAUCAGCAGGUUAAUCUGAACAUUUUGUGUGUAGUGUAAGGUCACGAUUGCCCUUGGAUGAGAUCCUAAUCAUCUGAAAGAAGACCUAUGGGUCCUAUCAGAAUUUGUCAGUGUAACCUGAGUCUUAAGAGCUUGUGGGUAGUGCUUGAGGUCACUCCUGCGGAUUAGCCUCAUUCUGCUGCUGGCACUUGUAGUGACAGCAUCCUCAGUAAGUGCUGUACAAGAGAAAUGGAGCAGAUUUGGUCCCAGCCUUUGUUAGUCGGUGGCUGGCAAAGUGGCAUAUUCAUGUGAACAAACUCCAAAAGCCAAGAUGAUGUGAGCCAUAUUUGCUACAACACAGUGAGUCUUUUAACAUAUUCUAAGUGAAAAGAAGCUAGUGAUAAAAGAUUGUAGGACUUCAUUUAUAUGAAAUGUCUAGAAAAUACAAGUCUGUUGAGACAGGAGAUUUUUGUUCACCUGUACUUUAAGAGAGAAGGGCAAUCAGGGUUUUGACACACAAAGGCUGCUUUUGAAGUCAUGAAGUGGUGGUUCUAAAAUUAAAAUUUUCCACAAGUGUGUGCAUUUACUAAACAACAUUGAGUUAUAUAGCUAUAAAUGGAUGAACUGUAUGCUAUGUGAGUUGUAUCAAUAAAUCUGUUUCAAGAAACAAGAGAAAA
Molecule: non-coding RNA, 4945 nt
Organism: Equus caballus (horse)
Lineage: Eukaryota; Metazoa; Chordata; Mammalia; Perissodactyla; Equidae
Source: RefSeq, a predicted model, not a curated record